RNAcentral lists this long non-coding RNA (2168 nucleotides) under Lotus japonicus. RNAcentral describes it as "long non-coding RNA (LJAP_LNC001641)". Lineage: Eukaryota; Viridiplantae; Streptophyta; Magnoliopsida; Fabales; Fabaceae. The record is from RNAcentral.
UGAAAGAGUGAAAAUCACCAAUAAGAUCAAUCAAAAACCAAUCUUUUUAUCUUCUCCCACAAAAUUCACCAAAUAAUGAAACAUGGCAUCACAUGAACUUUCAUCAAUUUCAUGACACAGCAUAAAUUGAAUGUCAAACAGAGACUAGAAUUGGAAGAUAAUUUUGUAAAAUUGACUAAUAAGCUUUGAUCUUCCAAAUAUUGAAAGUGACAUGAAAAUUCGAAUGAAAUCUCCAAACUGAUUUCAUAACCACAAACCAAUCAGAACAGCUGAAAAGUUCAACCUUUUUUUGUAUACCCUUAAAGAAUCUGAAAACAAGAUUGAAGAUCCACCCUCAAGAAAGAGACCAAAUCCAAAGCAAAAGCCAUGACUCACACACCCAGACGGGAAAGACAAUACAAGAAAACAAAACAGAGUACCAAUAAACAAGCAAAACAGAACAGGUCCUCAAAGGAAGGUGAACAAGAACUAAAAAUCAAUUUUUUUUCACAAAGAAACAAUCUUUCCAACAAAUAAACCAGACCCAUCAACGAGAAAACUCCAAUUCAGAAACAAAAUCCAUUAAAACAAGUCGAAAGAAGAAGGAAAACUAACAAGAUGAACAGGGGCCUUUAUGUGUUUGACAAGUGCAGAAGUGCACUGAUUGUCCCUGAGUUCAUGCUUGUGAUGUCUCCUAAUGUACUGUGACUCAAUAGCACUGUAAGGUUCAUCACCAUUCAUCUCUUCUACCUCUCAGAAACUGAGCUCUUUUUUCUUAUGGUUGAUGCUGCUUCUCUCCCUCUAGAAGAUACAACAACAACAACAACAAGUGGAGAAGGAUAAGCUUUGGCUACAGAGAGAGAGAGAGAGUAGUUGGUGUGAAAAAGUGUCAACCCUUAUGCUUAGCUUGGCAGUUUAUCAAAAUUCAUGAAUCCACCGACAAUGAAGUUAUUUUAUUCGUUUUUUAGUUCAACAGUGAUCAAAAUUUCAACAAUGCUCAGAUCAUGUCAAUAUCAAUGUGAAGCAUAUUAUUGGAGGGUAUUAAUAUUAUUUUAUUUUAUAUUUUUUGUCAAUAUUAUUAUUUUAUCUCUUUUAUGUUGUUGUGAUUGUGAAUGCUCUGUCUCUUUGGCUAAUUAUUAUAUUUAUUGACAAUAAUAAGAAAUAAAGAAAAGAUGGAACAGGAAAAAAUUAAAAGAAAAGACAAAUGGGAUCAUCAUCGACAUCUCUUGUGAAUUUAUUUACUCAAUUAUAAGCAUUUUAUAAAUUUGAUGAUUAAGUAGUUUAGAUAUUGUAUUUAUUAUAUAUGGUAUUAAAGGAAAUGAUCAAUGAGUUUUUUCUUUCUUUCUUGUUGGUGGGUUAAAAAUGGAAAGGAAAUGAAAGUACAGCUCUAGUGCCACCACCAUGUGCUUCAGAUCUUUUAUUUGAGGUUGCAGCCAAUGCUUGUUAAGGUCAAACCUUGAAGUGGGUUUGACUUAACCUUUCAACACUUCCCAAAAAUUGACAAUAGUUAAAAUUUGAUGACGGCUUAUGAUUAUGUGUUAGAGCUCAUACCCCAACAUAUGGAAUAUCGCGAUAUUAUUAUCAAUUUCAUUUAGUGCGUAGGAGCACUUAAAAAUCGGACUAAAUAUAUGUUGUGAAAUUUUAUUUGUUCAUAAAUGAUAGCUCAAGUGGUAAGAGUUAUGUGACAUGUGUUAGGGUGAGGAGGUUCAGGGUCAGGAAUCAAUCUUUGGUACGAACAAUUUAUCUUUUCGAUGUAAAAAAAAAAGACAACAGUAAUAAUAAAAAAAAAAGAUAGGGGAAAAAAAAGACAAUCUCUAAUAAAAAUAAAUAAAUAAAAAACUCCAUUACGCUUCUGCUAAGCUUUGACAAGUGCAGAAGUGCACUGAUUGUCCCUGAGUUCAUGCUUGUGAUGUCUCCUAAUGUACUGUGACUCAAUAGCACUGUAAGGUUCAUCACCAUUCAUCUCUUCUACCUCUCAGAAACUGAGCUCUUUUUUCUUAUGGUUGAUGCUGCUUCUCUCCCUCUAGAAGAUACAACAACAACAACAACAAGUGGAGAAGGAUAAGCUUUGGCUACAGAGAGAGAGAGAGAGUAGUUGGUGUGAAAAAGUGUCAACCCUUAUGCUUAGCUUGGCAGUUUAUCAAAAUUCAUGAAUCCACCGACAAUGAAGUUAUUUUAUUCGUUUUUUA